RNAcentral lists this ribosomal RNA (462 nucleotides) under uncultured bacterium. RNAcentral's name for it is "partial 16S ribosomal RNA". It matches the Rfam family "Bacterial small subunit ribosomal RNA", at positions 29 to 507 of the family's 1533-position model. The record is from RNAcentral.
AACAAACGCUGGCGGCGUGCCUAAUACAUGCAAGUCGAACGGGGAAAGCUUUCGGGUGAGUACUAGUGGCGCACGGGUGAGGAACGCGUGGAUAAUCUGCCUUAGAGUGGGGGAUAACUAGUCGAAAGAUUAGCUAAUACCGCAUAAGACCACGAGAGCUGCGGCUUUUGAGGUCAAAGGUUUUUCGCUCUAAGAUGAGUCCGCGUAAGAUUAGCUAGUUGGUGAGGUAACGGCUCACCAAGGCGACGAUCUUUAACUGGUCUGAGAGGAUGAUCAGUCACACGGGAACUGAGACACGGUCCAGACUCCUACGGGAGGCAGCAGUAGGGAAUAUUGCACAAUGGAGGAAACUCUGAUGCAGCGACGCCGCGUGAGUGAUGAAGGCCUUCGGGUCGUAAAGCUCUGUCGCAGGGGAAUAACACAAUGAAGGUACCCUGUAAGAAAGGAUCGGCUAACUUCGUG